RNAcentral lists this ribosomal RNA (460 nucleotides) under Mycobacterium avium. Its description in RNAcentral is "bacterial SSU rRNA". It matches the Rfam family "Bacterial small subunit ribosomal RNA", at positions 99 to 561 of the family's 1533-position model. Lineage: Bacteria; Bacillati; Actinomycetota; Actinomycetes; Mycobacteriales; Mycobacteriaceae. The record is from RNAcentral.
CGAACGGGUGAGUAACACGUGGGCAAUCUACCCUGCACUUCGGGAUAAGCCUGGGAAACUGGGUCUAAUACCGGAUAGGACCUCAAGACGCAUGUCUUCUGGUGGAAAGCUUUUGCGGUGUGGGAUGGGCCCGCGGCCUAUCAGCUUGUUGGUGGGGUGACGGCCUACCAAGGCGACGACGGGUAGCCGGCCUGAGAGGGUGUCCGGCCACACUGGGACUGAGAUACGGCCCAGACUNCUACGGGAGGCAGCAGUGGGGAAUAUUGCACAAUGGGCGCAAGCCUGAUGCAGCGACGCCGCGUGGGGGAUGACGGCCUUCGGGUUGUAAACCUCUUUCACCAUCGACGAAGGUCCGGGUUUUCUCGGAUUGACGGUAGGUGGAGAAGAAGCACCGGCCAACUACGUGCCAGCAGCCGCGGUAAUACGUAGGGUGCGAGCGUUGUCCGGAAUUACUGGGCGU